UCCAGACUCCUACGGGAGGCAGCAGUGGGGAAUAUUGGGCAAUGGGCGCAAGCCUGACCCAGCAAUGCCGCGUGAAGGAAGAAGGCCCUCGGGUUGUAAACUUCUUUUAUCAGGGACGAAGGAUGUGACGGUACCUGAUGAAUAAGCUCCGGCUAACUACGUGCCAGCAGCCGCGGUAAUACGUAGGGAGCAAGCGUUAUCCGGAUUUACUGGGUGUAAAGGGCGCGUAGGCGGGAUGGCAAGUCAGAUGUGAAAUCCAGGGGCUCAACCCCUGAACUGCAUUUGAAACUGUCGUUCUUGAGUACUGGAGAGGUUGACGGAAUUCCUAGUGUAGCGGUGAAAUGCGUAGAUAUUAGGAGGAACACCAGUGGCGAAGGCGGCCUGCUGGACCGUAACUGACGUUGAGGCUCGAAAGCGUGGGGAGCAAACAGGAUUAGAUACCCGCGUAC
Molecule: ribosomal RNA, 449 nt
Filed under: uncultured bacterium
Lineage: Bacteria
Description: bacterial SSU rRNA
Rfam family: Bacterial small subunit ribosomal RNA
Source: RNAcentral